This 76-nucleotide transfer RNA is filed under the name Akkermansia sp. RNAcentral describes it as "tRNA-Arg". It matches the Rfam family "tRNA". From Rfam's summary of the family: Transfer RNA (tRNA) molecules are approximately 80 nucleotides in length. Their secondary structure includes four short double-helical elements and three loops (D, anti-codon, and T loops). The record is from RNAcentral. Lineage: Bacteria; Pseudomonadati; Verrucomicrobiota; Verrucomicrobiia; Verrucomicrobiales; Akkermansiaceae.
GUCCCCGUAGUUUAAUCGGAUAAAACAGCCAUCUCCUAAAGGGCAAAUGCAAGUUCAAUUCUCGCCGGGGAUACCA